AUUCUGCCCAAGCGGAGAAGGAUGAGAAGCUUCGACUAAGGUUCGACUCGAGCGCCAGCGAGAGAGCGUUGCCGCAGGCAACGACCCGAAGGGCGAAGCGCGCAGCGCUGAGUAAUCCUUCCCCCACCACCA
This 132-nucleotide small RNA is filed under the name Escherichia coli. RNAcentral's name for it is "RtT sRNA". It matches the Rfam family "RtT RNA". Rfam says of the family: This family represents a bacterial cis-regulatory element known as RtT RNA. The exact function of RtT is unknown although it is thought that it may be involved in changing the cellular response in relation to amino acid starvation. The record is from RNAcentral. Lineage: Bacteria; Pseudomonadati; Pseudomonadota; Gammaproteobacteria; Enterobacterales; Enterobacteriaceae. RNAcentral also lists the same sequence under 6 other names.